UGAUGAGAUUUAUCACCCAAAACCGUUUUUGUGCGGCCGACUGGAGAACGUUAUUACAGCACAAUAAAAACCCCAAGUAACGUGAUUUUUUGCACAGUGAGUGAGCUGAAAUUCAGAUUUUUUUGAAGAAAACUCCCUGUUUUCUUGAAGAAAACUCCCUGUUUUCUUUCUAUUCCUGGCACAGACCCCGAGCAGUGUCUGCUGGCCCUGACACUCAUCCUGUCUGUCACAUCCCUCUCCAGACCUGGCUCCCCAUGUCCACAGCCACAGAAACACCAUUUUCCUUUCCCUUUGCUUCACCACCUUUAUAUCCAAUAAUUUUAUGCCUUUCUCACCUUUAAUAUUUCCAUUUUUCCCCAUUAUCCAUGGUAGGGUGGAAUUGGGGCUCAAGGAGAACCUGUUGGCAGAACUGAAGGGUGAGGGAAAAAUCCAGCCACCACUUUUUAAUUUUUAAUGCAAAAAUCUGUUGGUUUGGAGGGGAAAGGCACAGGGUAAAAAGGAUCUGGAGGUGGUGAAAUGGGACUGGGAUGGUUUUGAACCACGCUGUGUUCUCUCUGUUCAAUGGCAGGGGAUCAGAGGAGGGUGACAAAAGCAAUGUGGACACUGCAGCUCCUUCCAAGGGCUCCCAACCCUCCAGGGAUGGGCACCCUUCCAGCCGGGAUCUGAGGGACGAGGAGUGGAUGAGCUCUGGCUGAAUAAAUUGAAUUUAUUCCACGGCUGCUCCUGCCCAGCCCUGGUGCUCUGUGCUGCUGCACCCCUCUGGAAGGAGGGCAGGAGGGCAAGGAGGAGAAGCUCAGCUCUGAGAGAAGGCUCCAAACUGCCCCAAGGAGCUGAACUGUCCCUGGAAGCUGAGCCUGGUGCUCCCAGGUCAUUCCACCCUUCCACCUGAGUGCCCUGCUGGCGGCUUCACCCUGAGGAUGGAUUCUGCAAGAAAUGCUGAGAAACAUCGCAAAUGCUGAGGGUUGAGAGGAGUCCUCUCAGCGCACGGACUCAUUUGUGGAUAAAGUCACACUCAGCUGGAUCCCAGCUCCUCCAGAACCACCAGGUGUGGGGAAGGAUCCCAAAUUCACCAUCAGUGGACUUUGGUUU
Molecule: long non-coding RNA, 1089 nt
Filed under: Junco hyemalis (dark-eyed junco)
Lineage: Eukaryota; Metazoa; Chordata; Aves; Passeriformes; Passerellidae
Description: lncRNA (ENSJHYG00000012001.1)
Source: RNAcentral